Molecule: ribosomal RNA, 420 nt
Filed under: uncultured eukaryote
Lineage: Eukaryota
Description: bacterial SSU rRNA
Rfam family: Eukaryotic small subunit ribosomal RNA
Source: RNAcentral
CAAUAGCGUAUACUAAAGUUGUUGCAGUUAAAAAGCUCGUAGUUGAAUUUCUGGUCGUGGCGAUCGGUCCGCCCCUCACGGGGUGUGCACCUGGUCUCUACGUCCAUCCUCGGGGAGAGCGCGUCUGGCAUUUAGUUGUCGGGUGCGGGAUCCUCGUCAUUUACUGUGAGCAAAAUAGAGUGUUCAAAGCAGGCUUAGGCCGUUGAAUACAUUAGCAUGGAAUAAUAAGAUAGGACCUUGGUCUAUUUUGUUGGUUGCAUUCCAAGGUAAUGAUUAAUAGGGACAAUUGGGGGCAUUCGUACUGGCACGUCAGAGGUGGAAUUCUUGGAUUGUGCUAUGACGAACUACUGCGAAAGCAUUUUGCCAAGGAUGUUUUUCAUUGAUCAAGAACGAAAGUACGGGGAUCGAAGACGAUUAGAU